UGAUCCUCCUACCUCAGCCUCCUGAGUAGCUGGGACUACAGGCACUGAGAGAGUUGUUAAAGUCUUUAACCAUGAUUGUUGACUUCUCUUCAACAACUUCUCUUCUUUCAACUACUGCUUAAUACAUUAAAGCUCUAUUUUGAGCAAGAUCCCUGUAGUCAAGUUCCUGAGGGAUCUCUGCUUGUUAUCAUCUGUUUCAAUUGUGUGCAUUGUAUAUCUACUAUUGAAGAUUUGAAUAAUGACACAUUCUCCAAGUGGCUGUAAGUUUGAUUAUGAUAAAACUCUCUGGAGAAUUCUGUGAGCUUUCACAUCUGGUGGAGAACUCCAAUAAGAACAUCUCUAAUGAGGAAUUCCUGGAACAAGAAAUUACAGAUUAUCUAUUUUUUAGAAGACAUGACAAGAUGAUGUUGUGGAUUGAAUAGAGGACAGCACUGAAUUUGAAAUACAGAUAGCUUGAAAUUAAUAUAAAAUUUACAUAAAUAUGUGUGGAAGAUUGUAUACAGAGCAGAAUUAAUUAGAUGCACAUAGUAGGCAAAGGGAAAAGAAAAACACAUAAAAAGCA
Non-coding RNA from Microcebus murinus (gray mouse lemur), 562 nucleotides. The record is from RefSeq and is a predicted model, not a curated record. NCBI's taxonomy places the organism in Eukaryota, Metazoa, Chordata, Mammalia, Primates, Cheirogaleidae.